This is a long non-coding RNA of Herpailurus yagouaroundi (jaguarundi), 2226 nucleotides long. RefSeq lists it as uncharacterized. The transcript is spliced from 2 exons. The record is from RefSeq and is a predicted model, not a curated record. Lineage: Eukaryota; Metazoa; Chordata; Mammalia; Carnivora; Felidae.
UCCCAGUCUACUAGGCAGCCAGGACUUCAGUUUGUAUGGCUCUCUGGGAACUUAUACCUUGGUUAUGGAUAAAAGCCACUGAUACAUAAAAUAACUGGAGUACUAGAUAAGGUGAUACAUGAUUGUGUGCUAGACUGAGGGACACAUCACUGCAUGCCUAUCAAAGGAAUUCAGGGUUAGGGAAGGUCCCUGUAGGCUGUAGCAUCUGAGAAAAUUUGGGCUUGGACUUUGAAGCAAGUUCAAGAAUUGGACUGGCAAAAAGAUAAUUUUUUUUUUUUUUUUUUUUUUUUUGCUGCUGCCCUGGUUUUGGCCAUCCUUAUUUUCAUCUAGUCUCUCCCUCUAUUGAGUUCAACCCAAAUCGUGCUGCCAAAGCAAUGCUCCUUAAAAAAAAAAAAAAAAAAAGGUUUGUUUUUUUUUAAAUUUUUAAGUAAUCUCUACACCCAACGUGGGGCUCAAACUCACAACCCCAAGAUCAAGAGUCAACACACUUCACCAACUGAGCCAGUCAGGUGCCCCCAGAGCAGCGUUCCUCAUCUUAAAUCUGACCAACAGUCUCUUGCUCAGAAACCCCCUGUGGCUCCUUACUAUUCCCUGAAGCCUAAAGUUCCUCACUUCCCUCCCCUUGGCUUCUCCUGCUCCCUCUACCUGAAGUAUCUUCCCUUGACUUCUUCUCGUCUGCCAGUGGAAAUACUACAUAUUCCCCAAUGUUCAGCUCCAAUGCCAUUUCUUCUCUGCUUCUGUUAUAUACUAGAGGAAUUGAAGCAAUGAGGAAGAUGCUUGUGGGCAAUAGCAAUACAACACUAUUUAGUCCCUCACCAUAGAAGUCCUGAUUGAAAGAGUUUGUGAUUCAUCUGAUCUGAUUGCGGAUCUGAUUUAAUUCUUAGCCCUGCCACUUAGUAGAACUAUCAUAUUGAUGUUCCCCAAUGAACCAUACCACCAGUGUGACUGGUCUUAUGUAAAUCUCUCCCACACUGACUUGGGACUUGGCCAUGUGACUUGCUUUGGUUAAUUAAUAGCACCUCACCAAGCAUGAUGCAGACAAAGACAUGGUAAGUGCUGCCAUUUUGAGGCUGUACUCCUGGAACACUCCCUCUUGGAGUAGUUAUCCAGGAAGUCCAAUUACCCUGCUGGAGAGAGAGAUCAGGUAGAUAGGCUCACCGAUGUAACACCUCCAGGAUAUCCUGUAAGAAAGACAUGCCCGGCCAGCCCCUAGGAUGUUCUAAGCAUCCUGGUUGAGACCCUAGACACAUGAGUUGAAUCAUCUUGGAUGCUCUGGACCCAGUCAAGCUUCCAGAUGACUGAGUCUGAAUAGGAGACUCCAGGCAAGAUCAGCCAAAAGAAUUACCCAAUUGAGCCCAGGCCAGAUUUGUAGAGUCAUGGGUGAAUAAAUGGCUUUAGCCACUAAGUUUUGGAGCAGUCUGUUACUUAGCAGUAAAUAAUUAAAACAUUGGUCGUUUUACCCGGUAUAAUUUAUUUCUCUGGAAUUCAGUUUGCCCAUCUGUGGAAUGGAGAUGAUAGGAUUUCCCUUACAGAGUUGUUUUGAGAAUUUAAUGACAUAAUGUAUACAAAGUUUCCAGGGGUGUAUCUGACACAUAUUUGUUUAUACAAGAUUUAAUUUGUGGAAUCCUAAAUCUGCCAGGCACUGUGGUGUGACACAGUGAUAAGGCACAAUCACUCCCUCAAGGCACAUAUUAAACACUUAAGAAUGUUAGUUCCUUUUCCCUCCUGACAUAACAUUAUACGUUGUGGAUGCUCCUUGCUAGUUGCAUCAAAUUCACUACAGUACACAAUGGAUAAGCUAAAUAAUAUUUUUGUCUCCUGAUUCUGUCUCAAUUCAUUUAGGCACCUGCUUUGUAACAUCCAAACCACAGUCCUUAAAGUAUAGGGAUGGCUUGAAAAUUGACUUUCGCUUUAGCAGUGCUGGGGCCCCACCUGCGAGCUGGCACAUCGCUGAUGGGUACUAGAUGACCUGCUACGUAGGUUGAGGUCGUUGGAUUUCAAACCGAAAGAGGCCUGGUCUGCGGUGAAUGCAGAUAAAGAACCCAAUACAAUCUGAUGAUAAAGAGGUUGAGGAGAGUGUACCUUCACCUUCCCUUCUUCCUUCUCUCCCAGCUCCUACUCCUCUGUGUAGAAACACCAUCUUGUAUCUUUUUACUCAGGCGAUUCGAGUGGCUUUCGGCCUCAGCUUCAUUCUCUUCCGCCUCUUUCUUGGAUCACUUCCAAAUG